GCCCGAGUAGCUCAGGGGAUAGAGCAGCGGCCUUCUAAUCCGCCGGUCGGGGGUUCGAAUCCCUCCUCGGGCA
RNAcentral lists this transfer RNA (73 nucleotides) under Nesterenkonia salmonea. It matches the Rfam family "tRNA". From Rfam's summary of the family: Transfer RNA (tRNA) molecules are approximately 80 nucleotides in length. Their secondary structure includes four short double-helical elements and three loops (D, anti-codon, and T loops). Lineage: Bacteria; Bacillati; Actinomycetota; Actinomycetes; Micrococcales; Micrococcaceae. RNAcentral also lists the same sequence under 2 other names. The record is from RNAcentral.